CACAUGCAUUAGCCAAUUAGAAUCAGCCAAGUGGCCAACUUAAAUGAUUUAAACAAGCCAUUUAGCAGUAAAGAAGUCUUCUUUUUCUCUUAAUAGCAUCACUACCUUUGUAUAAAUAUAUUAUCUUCCUCCUCAAACAAAUACACUCAAUUCUCUCUCUCCCUUCUCAGUUUGCUCAUCUCUUUCUCCUCAGCCGCAAACUCAAGAUCAUGGAUGUUAAAUCCGUUAGUUAUCGAUCUUCUAUGCGGCAAGUUUGUGUAUGUAUGAGUAACUCUUCUCUUCCUUUUCCCCCUAUAUAUACAAAGAGUACAUGUUAUAUAUAUACUGAUAGGUUGUUAAUCUUUUUCUGGUUCGAUUUAGACCAUCUGACCAUACAAGGUUUGGAUAUUUCCCGAAUCUGAGAGGUUAUAUCAUAUAUGUAUAUAUGAAAGUGUGUAUUUGUACUAAGAUUUGUUUCUUUCUUUGGUCAAGAAGAAACUUAGAUGUGUGUAAUUUUUCUGGUCAGAAUUAUAUAUGUGAAUCUAAUUAGAGCUGUUCUCAAACUUUUAGGUUUACUUUUAUGUCGAUUUUUGUUAAUUUUUACACCACAGAUAGAUAAAAGUUUUAAAAGAGAAUAGGGUUUUACUGUUUGGGGAGGUACAUGGUUUUACACUUAUAUUCAGACCUUGUCUUUUAUAAGAAAAUACAGUAUAUUUAUUUAUAUUGUUUUGAGACUCAUGUGGGUUCACUUGUAACUAGGCCUUGUGUGCUUGAUAAUACCCACACAUUCAAACUGUGUUGAACAAGUUUCGAACCUUGAUACCAAUGGAAAUAAGGCCUAAUUUAGACUCCAAAUUAGUAUUAUAUAUAUAUAUAUAUAUAGAAGGGUUUUAAUAAUCAACCUAUCUCUUCUCUCUUCUUCUUCUUCUUUUUUUGUGUUUUUUCUUUUGUUAAAUAUGUUAUACAUAUAUAUAUCCCUUGUUGCCUUGACAGUAUGUGGUGGUUUAAUUGUACAUGAGUGAAGUUGGGAAUCAGUCGUUGUUUGCUGGUGUAGCACCAUCAAGAUUCACAUGCAAAUGCAAGUGUUGUUGGUCAUAAUAAUGUAAAUGUAAAAAUGAAUUAUAUUUACAAUCUGUGGCUGGCAAUAGGGCCAUUUUGGUGAUGAGAAUCUUGAUGAUGCUGCAUUGGCAAUAGAACGACUAUACUUGAGCAUGUUGGUACGAGCUAGGGCCUAAUCACCUCAAUAUAUAUAUGACUGAAAGUGACAGACCAAUCAAGUCCGCAAAUGGCUGAUCUGUCACCCGGCUUUACAACUUUUCUCUCAGGCCAGUUCCUUUCAGAUGACCAACUGUAGGCAUUCAUUUGGACUUCUACUAGUUCCAAGCUAGGGCUUUUCCAAUUAAGUUGGGUAAUUUAUUAAUUACAGUAGCUUAAUUUGUUGCCGCUCUUUAUAUAUAAUUAAGGGCAAGCUUAAUUAGUAAGUGAUUAUGAAUUUUAAUGGUUGGAAGACCAUAUUAGUAGGGAUAACUGGAAAACACACCGAUCGGUUGUGCCAAAAUGUACAUUUUUUAAUUUGUUCUGCGAAGUAAUAUUUUGGUUCAAGAACAAUGACGUUGUUAAUUAUAAGAGAUGUUUUUUUUUUGGUCACAUUAUAUUAUAAGAGAAAUUGUUAGUAAGAAUAACAACACAUAAAGAGUCUUGAUCAUUUAUAUGAAUCUCAGUACUAGUGCUAUAAUAUCAUCAGUCUUUUACCAGCUCAUCAGUUGAUUCAAGUGAAAUGGACCUACAUUGAGUCAUUGAUGCACAACUUUACACAAUUAUGUACGCUGGUCCCGGUGACAUGGAAUGCUUUGAAUUUUCCCUUUAGUCGAUCAGAGCGGCAUUGAAGAUUACCACCACCAUGCUCGUGCUUCUCUCUCAGCCUCAUCUGGAGCAUCUUUAUCAAAUAUCUCUUCACGUCUUCUGAUUUUUGUUCUCUUGGUAUCGGUGUACAUCCUUCAUUGGCCACUGCCGGGUCAGUUUCUCAUCAUGGUCAUUUUUUCGUCGCUCAAUUAUUAUGUUUCCUCCGAUUUUUUUUUUAUCGAUACAGUAUACAAAAUUACAAUAAAAUGGCUAGUCUUGCAGAUAUUAAACCAGAUCCGUCAGAAGUGAGCAAGCUUCCGACUCUAAUAAUCCGUUGGUCUGUCAGGAAGUGGUCCUGUGGAAAUUAACGUUUGUCGGAAGUGAUUUACCUGGAACAUUUGUCAGAGAUGGAGCACUAAUCAGCUUAAUAUAACAAUCAACAGACAACGCCAUUAGAAUUACAUGACAGCUCAGCCAUCAAAGACAAAGAUGCACAGCAACAAACAAACCUAAUCAUCAAGCAGCAGUACCACUUGACGUCUCUCUCGGUUGAGUUCACAGUUAUACAAUUUCCAUUUUGGAAUCUUUCAUUACAAUGAAUGUUCACAAACCUCUGUGUUAAAUUUUUCUGUUAAAAUUUCAAGUAUAGUAAUAUUUUUAUAGUGUUUACCAGAAGCAAAUUCAUCUGUUUCUCAUUAGAAAUAGCUUUUCCCGGCCAUCUAUUGUUCGCUCAACACCAAUGGUUCCUACUAAUUAGGAACUACUGGUUGCAGACUUGCAGUACUAGAAUAUGUUAGACCUAAUUAACCAAUAUUGUACGGAGAGUGUGUUUUGUAUUGUAAAGUCAUUCUUAUAUAUAGUUGUUAAUUUUUUGCAA
This is a long non-coding RNA of Daucus carota subsp. sativus, 2698 nucleotides long. RefSeq lists it as uncharacterized. The record is from RefSeq and is a predicted model, not a curated record. The transcript has 2 exons. Lineage: Eukaryota; Viridiplantae; Streptophyta; Magnoliopsida; Apiales; Apiaceae.